RNAcentral lists this ribosomal RNA (597 nucleotides) under Entoloma placidum. RNAcentral describes it as "eukaryotic LSU rRNA". The stretch from base 204 to 357 matches the Rfam family "5.8S ribosomal RNA". The record is from RNAcentral. Lineage: Eukaryota; Fungi; Basidiomycota; Agaricomycetes; Agaricales; Entolomataceae.
UUGAAUAAAAUUGGUUGAGUUGGUGCUGACUCUUUGGAGUAUGUGCACACUCACACCAUUUUUAACCACCUGUGCACCAUCUGUAGACUUUAAAUGCUUGAGGAUUGCGAAAUCAGCUAUUCUCGUAUUUAGGUCUAUGUCUUUAUAUACACCAUAAUUGUUUAAGAAUGUUAUAUUGGGCCUUUGUGCCUUUAAAUUGAAACAACUUUCAACAACGGAUCUCUUGGCUCUCGCAUCGAUGAAGAACGCAGCGAAAUGCGAUAAGUAAUGUGAAUUGCAGAAUUCAGUGAAUCAUCGAAUCUUUGAACGCACCUUGCGCUCCUUGGUAUUCCGAGGAGCAUGCCUGUUUGAGAGUCAUUAUAUUCUCAACCUCAUUAGUUUUUGCAAGCUAAACGAGGCUUGGAUAAUGGAAGUUGCGGGUUUCUUACUGAAAUCAGCUCUUCUUAAAUGUAUUAGCAGAAUCUUUACUGAAUNAUUCUUUGAUAUGANAAUUAUCUAUAUCAAUGAAGACUCAGUUUAUUCCGCCACCAAUUUGUCCUUUAUUAGACAAUAUAUAUUUGACUAUUUGACCUCAAAUCAGGUAGGACUACCCGCUGA